RNAcentral lists this ribosomal RNA (1221 nucleotides) under Triticum aestivum (bread wheat). RNAcentral's name for it is "partial small subunit ribosomal RNA". Lineage: Eukaryota; Viridiplantae; Streptophyta; Magnoliopsida; Poales; Poaceae. The record is from RNAcentral.
AUGCCUGUGAUGACGACGAUAACUCGCGCUCUCCUGCUCGUCGGCGUCGCCCUGACGGCGCAACUGUGCGCUUGCACGGCGUACGGCGGCGAUGGGUUUAGUGUGGAGUUCAUCCACCGUGACUCCGUCGGGUCGCCGUUCCACGACCCCUCGCUCACCGCUCAUGGCCGCGUGGUUAAGGCCCUCGCGCGGUCCUACGCCCACGCCGACGCACCGUCGGCCCACGGCGUCGUGUCCGAACUCACCUCCACUCCGUUCGAGUACCUGAUGGCCUUGAACGUGGGCACGCCGCCCACCCGUCUGCUCGCCAUCGCCGACACCGGCAGCGACCUCGUCUGGCUGAAUUGCAGCAGGAAGGGGCCCCACGGUCUUGGCCCGGCGUUCGCCGGUGACGCGCCCUCGCCCACACCCCCGCCGGGCGUCGUGUUCGACCCCUCCAAGUCCAAGACGUACAGCCCCGUGGGCUGCGACUCCGGCGCGUGCCGCGAGCUCCAUGAAACCGUCUGCGUCGACUCCAAGUGCGCCUACUUCUACGGCUAUGGCGGGGGCUCCACCACGAGCGGCCUCCUCUCCACCGAGACCUUCACCUUCGCGGACGAUGCCCCAGCUGGCAGCCGCGGCGACCGGACGACGCGCGUGCCCGACGUCAACUUCGGCUGCGGCACGACCUUUGUCGGCUCCUUCAUCGGGGACGGCCUCGUCGGCCUCGGCAACACAAACCUCUCCCUCGUCGCGCAGCUCGGCGCGCACGCCUCGCUCGGCCGGAGGUUCUCCUACUGCCUCCUGCCCUACUCCGUCAACGGCUCCUCCCUGCUCAACUUCGGCGCCCGCGCCACCGUGACGGAGCCGGGCGCGGCCACGACGCCGCUGAUCCCGUCCAGGGUGAAGUCGUACUACACCAUCGGCCUCCUGUCCGUCAAGGUGGGCAACGCGACCUACGCGGCGCCGCAGCAGUCCCCCGCCGUCGUUGACUCCGGCACAACGCUGACGUUCCUCAACAAGGCGCUGCUAGACCCACUGAAGGACACCUUGUGCUUGGCCAUUGCGCCGUCGGCUCGGUCGUCAUUGAUCGGGAACAUCGCACAGCAGAACAUGCACGUAGGGUACGACCUCGACAAGGGCACCGUCACCUUCGCGGCAGCCGACUGCGCGAGAUCCUACUCCGCCCACCCACCCUCCCCGGCCCACUCUCACGCCCCAGCCACCUCCGGCUCUGCGUAG